CUUUUCUGGAAAAAGAACAGAUGGGUUUUGUUUCUCCACGGGCACUAUCUGGCCUACAGGGUGCCUGCCCUGACCUGACCCUUGGGGUCCCCAUCACUCGGUGUGAUGCUCAGGACACCUCCAGGCUGCUGGCCGCAGAAGGAAUGGUGCAUGCAGCCUGGACCAUGGGAAUGACAGGGACACCUCUGGUUCUUCCCCCAAAGCCCACAGACUGGACAGGCCUUGACCUCCCCACCUCACUCUCUCAUCUCUGGAGACUGCUGGCACCAACUCAGGACCCCAUCACCUACCCCACCUGAAAUCCUGGGCCCUAACAGUGCAUUGGCUGAGUUACCCACAUCUGAGUCCCUCCUGAAUUGUAGGAAGGGAACUGAGCCUAAGAUGAUGGGGGUGAGAGCUGGGGGUGUGGGGCAGACAUGGGGUCUGGCCAGGCCCUCGGGGACAGGGAAUGUGGUUUCCAAAGAGGUGGCAGGGGUUCCCUGUGUCCUCUGCCCCUGGGCCACUGUCCCUUUCCCGGUGAAACUGGGCUGUCAUUGCUUCUGUCUCAAGAGCACCCAGGGGAGGCAGCACCUGGAAGCACAGUGGGGACUUCCCAGUGUCUGAACAGGCUGCCCCUGGGCCCCCACUGCCAGCCUCUAGAGCUGGGACAAAGCCAUCUCUGCUCUGCAUGGGGACCCAGGUGCUCAGGUCCUUGUCAGCAGGGGACAAGAACCCCUGCCCACAGAGCCCAGAGGCCAGCGCUGCUCUGGGUCCUGCUGACUUCUGUUGGCCCAAGGCUAGGACUGCAAAGCCAACACUCAGCUGCACUUGGGUUCUGCCUCGGGGGCCCCAGCGCCUGCCUCUGCGCCCACCCUGCUCACAGGAGUGCACUCGGCCCCCACUACUGGGUUCAGGGCACCUGGGCCUUCCAGGGGUCCUCAGAUGGCUGAAGGGGAUCCAGUGCCGGCUGGACCACCCCGCAGGAGGAUCCAGGAAAGCUUCCCGAGGCCCCGCCAGGCCAUGCUGUCAGAAGCUCCUGAAAGCAGAACUGCUGAGCCCAGGGAGGACAAGGAGGACUAGGAAGAGGUUCUGCUCACCCGGGCCAAGCAUGGGACCCCCCCAACUCCUCCAUCCCCAGCACCCAGGCCUCUGUGGGCCCUGAGGACUUACUUCGGUGGACCUUGAGGACGGUGUACACCAUGCCGCUUCCUGCUAACACACCUGGGAAAGCAGCAGAAGAUGGUUCAAGCACUAGGGACCUUGCACUCACAUGGGAGACCCAGAUGGAGUUCCAGGCUUCUGACUUGAGGCCCGCCAGGCCUAGCUUCAGUGGUUGCGAGAAUUUGGGGAGUGCACGAGUGUGGAAGAUCUUUCUGUCUCUCCCUCUCUGUCACCGUCUUUCAAAUAAAUAAAUAAAUAAAUCUUUAAAAAAAAGAAAGAAAAAUGACUCCAACUCUGUGGUGGGGAGAGGGGGAAGGUCCCCAGCUGUAUUUACUCCAGGUUCUUAUCUCCAUGUGAGAUAAAAUUCAAAUGAAGCAACAUGCUCCUGAAUAAUCACUGGGUCAAUGAAGAAAUUAAAGCGUAUCUUGAGACAAAUGAAGUGGAAACUGACAUAUCAAAAUCUGUGGCAGCAGCCAAAACAAUUCUUUUUUUUUUUUAAGGAUUUAUUUAUUUAUCUGAAGAGUUACACGGAGAGAGAAGAUGCAGAGAGAGAGAGAGAGAGAGAGAGAGAGAGACAUAGAGAUAGAUACAGGGGCUGGCGCUGUGACUCACUUGGUUAAUCCUCUACCUGCGGUACCAGCAUCCCAUAUGGCACCAGGUUCUGGUCCCAGUUACUCCUCUUCUAGUCCAACUCUCUGCUGUGGCCCGGGAGGGCAGUGGAGGAUGGCUCAGGUGCUUGGGCCCCUGCACCUGCAUGGGAAACCAGGAGGAAGCACCUGGCUCCUGGCUUCAGAUCGGCAUAGCUCUGGCUGUAGUGGCCAUUUUGGGGAUGAAUCAAUGGAAGGAAGACCUUUCUCUCUGUCUCUGUCUCUCACUGUCUAACUCUGUCAAAUAAAUAAAUAAAUUUUAAAAAAGAGAGAGAGGUCUCCA
Non-coding RNA from Oryctolagus cuniculus (rabbit), 2070 nucleotides. Lineage: Eukaryota; Metazoa; Chordata; Mammalia; Lagomorpha; Leporidae. The record is from RefSeq and is a predicted model, not a curated record.